UUAAAUUGAAGAGUUUGAUCAUGGCUCAGAUUGAACGCUGGCGGCAGGCUUAACACAUGCAAGUCGAACGGUAACAUGAGUGCUUGCACUUGAUGACGAGUGGCGGACGGGUGAGUAAAGUAUGGGGAUCUGCCGAAUGGAGGGGGACAACAGUUGGAAACGACUGCUAAUACCGCAUAAUGUUGAGAGACCAAAGCAUGGGACCUUCGGGCCAUGCGCCAUUUGAUGAACCCAUAUGGGAUUAGCUAGUUGGUGGGGUAAGGGCUCACCAAGGCGACGAUCUCUAGCUGGUCUGAGAGGAUGACCAGCCACACUGGAACUGAGACACGGUCCAGACUCCUACGGGAGGCAGCAGUGGGGAAUAUUGCACAAUGGGGGGAACCCUGAUGCAGCCAUGCCGCGUGUAUGAAGAAGGCCUUCGGGUUGUAAAGUACUUUCGGUAGUGAGGAAGGUGGUGUAUCUAAUAGGUGCAUCAAUUGACGUUAAUUACAGAAGAAGCACCGGCUAACUCCGUGCCAGCAGCCGCGGUAAUACGGAGGGUGCGAGCGUUAAUCGGAAUGACUGGGCGUAAAGGGCAUGUAGGCGGAUAAUUAAGUUAGGUGUGAAAGCCCUGGGCUCAACCUAGGAAUUGCACUUAAAACUGGUUAUCUGGAGUAUUGUAGAGGAAGGUAGAAUUCCACGUGUAGCGGUGAAAUGCGUAGAGAUGUGGAGGAAUACCGGUGGCGAAGGCGGCCUUCUGGACAGAUACUGACGCUGAGAUGCGAAAGCGUGGGGAGCAAACAGGAUUAGAUACCCUGGUAGUCCACGCUGUAAACGAUGU
Molecule: ribosomal RNA, 820 nt
Filed under: Gilliamella sp. wkB292
Lineage: Bacteria; Pseudomonadati; Pseudomonadota; Gammaproteobacteria; Orbales; Orbaceae
Description: bacterial SSU rRNA
Rfam family: Bacterial small subunit ribosomal RNA
Source: RNAcentral